AUUUUGCAAGCUAUUAAAAUAUUUGUCGAAGUUUCGUACAAAAAAAUUCAGAUUUUUUAGAUUUAGUGUCCACCCGAGCUCAUGUGAGCUCGCGAUCAGAACAGGUGCGUCCGUUUAAGACUUACUAUUGUAUGAGUCGGCUACUAGAUUGGCUCCAGAUAACAUGUCCAUUGUUGACUGUAUUAUUAACCAUGCUCGAAAGCCUCGUAGAGGUCCACUACACUUUACAAAUUACUACUCCUAUCUCAGACGGCAAGCUCGGCGGCACUGCCCCGGUGCACCUAAGCUAACUUAAAAUCUCCUGCUGCCCACCGGCCGGCAGCCGCUGCGACGUCUCCUCGGCGUCGACGAGGCAGAGCACAUGGUGCACCGCCGCCGCGAUAUCGUCCGCCGUUGUCAGCCCGCACCCUUCCUCCACCUGCACACACGAAUCAAAAACAUGAAGCCUGAGCUUUCUCUGCGAUCGCACUUAUCAAGGAGCGAAGUUCACUGCACACAAUUAAAUGGCAUCAGGCCAAUACACGCGAGGCAAAGCGGCGGUUCCGGAGCGCAGAGAGGCCCGGUGAACAGGCGAUCGGUCACAGCGUGAGCUACAUCGAUCACUACAUCGAUCACUGAGCCGGAAGUGAAAAAAGCUCCUGUAAAGGCAGAUUCUCCGAUGGGGCCUGGGCGAUCGACGGGCGCCGCUGCCAUGAACAGCCCGAAGGAAAGGCACCACACACGAACCCUGUAGCCUCCCCUUUUUCUUUUCCCUGCUCACCUCGCCAUGUCAAUCUAUCUGAUCUACGACCCAGCUCCGCAGAAAGAUUCUCCAUGGCGCCAUCUCCAGCCUACUUUAGCAGGAGGAAAAAAUAGGGUAAAAGUAUCAUAUGUGCAGCUCUGCUUCUGCUUUUUGAGCUUGAACUGUCAUGGCUCGAUAUAGUGCAGGCAGCAGCCAUAUGGGGGCAGGUCAAGUCCAGAGAGCAGAGCUGCUACAGCUUGGAGUGCAGAGCGGAGCAAAAGCCUCUAUCGGGGGAGCAAAAAGCCUCUGGAUCGAUUCCGGAAUCUCAAUCUGGUCAAAAAGCAAAUGACCAAUGGCUGGAGCCAGCCAGCUUUCUGGUCUUCCCGGCCAUGGCCAGCGGCGGAUGUACUCCACCAUGAAGCAGCACUGGGUAGUGGCUGCUGGUUUCUAGCUCGCACAAGCAAUGCACGCCAACCUCUGCAGCAGAGCUUAUGCAAUGUAGUAGAUGCCUAGCCGGAAUGAUUUUGUUCACCUCAAGCAACAAGAGAUGUGAAAUGAUUUUAUUUUUUGAGUUGCCGAUCAGCCUGGGGUAGUAGGGGUGUUUUAGGAAGUUAUCUCAGCCGGCACAGUCAAAAAAUGUUCAGGCCUCACCGUUUUAGCGCAAGAAACAAUUUGUAUGGAAUUCUCUACAGUGUUUAACUAUUUUGGAUGCUGUGCUAAAACCCAACAUGUUUUUGGUCCUUCUGAUAGAGAAGCCACAUGCAUCAAAGAAAAUUAAAAAAUACUCUAGAUGCUUUCGCUUGCAAACGGGCCUAGCAUCGUUCUCACUGGCUUUAUAGCUAGAGUUGUUGUCAUUUUCCGGCGCUAGAUAGGAGAAAAAUGAAAAUGUAGAUUUUGGCGAUGGCUUAGGUUUUCAUCAGAAGAGAAAGUAACAACCGAGUGAAUAGUUUGCAGGCAACGGCAUGGAAAUGUACCUUGACGCUGAGGGAGUAGAGCGCGAGCGAGCCGAGCGUGGUGACGUUGAGGUGCAGGACGGUGAGCCUGAGCGCCUCCAUCCCGGCGACCAUCCUGAGCAGCUGCCCCGGCCGCCGCGGCGCCAUCACCCGGACGCUGGCGUGCGUCUCCACCAGGGUCACCUCGAUGUCCGCCGCCCCGGCGCGGUCGUCGGCGUCGUCCCGCGGUGGGAGGAGGCGCACGUACUGCGGGUACGUGAAGAACCCCGCGAACGGGGGCCCCGUCGUGUCGUGCGUCGCCGCAGCCUGCUUGCCCUCAUCGGUGCUCGUCGUCGUGGCCGCGGCCGCGGCCGCGACGGUGGUGCUCGACGAUGGCAUGGCGUCACGGAUGGGCAGCGGCUUGUGCUCCUGCUCCGGCUGCGCCAGGAGCGUGCGCUUCUGCGCCUCCAGGGACUGCAGCAGCUGCUCGAGCUCCUUGACGAAAUCGAUGGCGCCGCCGACAAUGGAUGCCUGGUCGCCCUACACAUCCAUCGAAUUGAAAGCCAGCGACAGUCAAGUGCGGGUACAUUCAUCCUCACAGAAGGUAGUUGCAUGUGAUCGAAGAAGUACGUACAACUUAAAAGAACAGGGUAGUAGUAGCUGUAACACUCUGUUCCCCAAGCUCAGAAAAAAAAACAGUGUAGGACAUUUACUAGAACUAUGAGUGAAGUGAUGAUAGGGAGAGGAGGCGCAUUAACGGCGCAAUGUGGCCGAGGAAUGUAUGUCUCGCGGAGGAGGGAUACGCGCCAUUAUUGGCGUGCAUUGGCUCUGGUAGUUAAGAACAGGGGCCCGAAUGGAGCAGACAAGAUUCAAGAACUCCCGACGCCACUCCACCAUUGGCCCUCAAACAUAAUGACGCUCGAUGUAAAGAUUUUGGCCUCAAGAACUCAACACGAAGAGCGCAGAACGUAUCAGGAAUUCAGCGAGACGCGAGAACGUGAGCUUACCCGGUGGGCGUAGGACUCCGGCAUGAGGGAGCGGAGCGCGGCGAGGUACUCGUUCAUCUGGCGCCGGCGGUUGCGCUCGACGGCAAUGUGGGUCAUCCGCUGGCUCUCGGCGUCCUCGCGGUUCUUGCAGCUCCUCGCCCGCCGCCGCCGCUUCCUCCUCCCCUGCGCCUUCUCCCCUUCUUCCACCGGCACCGCCGUCACAGCCGGCGCCGCAGCGGAAGCAGACCCCGCCAUCCAUGCCUCAUCGCCGAAGAGGAGGCUGCUGUCGGCCGGCGCGGCACUCGCGGCGGCCGCCGCGUUGAAGGUGUCGUAGACGAGGACGUCGCUGGCCGCGCACAGGGCAUCCAGCGUCAUGCCGAUCCGACGGAUCGAACUCGAAGGAGCUAGUGCCCGACUGCCGGUUGGUGCUACGCUGCUACUAUACGCGUGUGCGUGCGUUUCUAGCGAGACAUGGGAGGGGGGAGGAAAGCUAGGACAUGCACGAGACGGUGUAAAAUAAUGGUGGCGGGCACCGCGCGGAGUGGGACGCGGCAGGCGCCAACUCCGUGUGUGGCGUGCCCGGGCGAUGUGCUCGAAGCGCCGCAGCGAGCGCAGGCAGGCAGGCAAAGGCAACAGCGGCGCCGCAGACGCGUGGGCGGUCUGUGGCUGCGCCAGAGGCGUAGGUAAGAUUAGAUUAGAUCGGCCUCCGUUCGUGGUCACCACGCCACGCUCCAAGGGAUCGGCACCAAAAUCCCGCUUUCUCUCGGCGUAGCGGCGAGAUCUUUGAAGCCGAUCGGAUGCUACACGUAACGGACGAGCUAGCUAGCUUUCUCCCCGGGCCCUGUAGCUAGAAAAAGUGAGAGUGAGAGGGGUGUGUGGUCACGCUCUGCCUGUCGCUGCUGCUCUGUGAUUUUCCUUUUGCUGCUUCGCUCGAUAUGUGGGAGUGUGUGUGUGGGGUGGUGUCCCUUCUCGGUAUGCCAAAUGACACCCUGCGGGUGCUGGCCAGGCCGAGGCAGGGGGGCCCCGCGUACGGCGGCAUCUGGCGCGAGAGGGUCCGAUAAUUGGGAAUCGGCGCGGUGGCGGUACGUGGAUUGCCCAUGCAUGCAUGCAUGUGGCCGAGGAAAAAGUCCAUUUUAAACCUUGAAUUUGUAGAGGUUANNNNNNNNNNNNNNNNNNNNNNNNNNNNNNNNNNNNNNNNNNNNNNNNNNNNNNNNNNNNNNNNNNNNNNNNNNNNNNNNNNNNNNNNNNNNNNNNNNNNCUUCUUCAUCAGGCUUGAUACCACAACUCUCAGAUAUGGUCUUUGGCAAUUUCUGAAUAAGAAAAAUAUAUCAAUUAAUAAGUAGCCUCACACAUUCUACACGAAGCAUAUAUAUCAUCGGACUCUACACUAAGCAUAUAUAUCAUCGGACUCUACACUAAGUAUAUAUAUCAUCGUACUCUACACUAAGUAUAACAAUAAAGCAUAUAAGAUUCACUAAGCAUAUAAGAUUCACUAAGCAUAUAUAUCAUCGGACUCUACACUAAGUAUAACAAUAAAGCAUAUAAGAUUCACUAAGCAUAGAUUCACUAAGCAUAUAAGAUUCAGUAAGCAUAUAAGAUUCAGUAAGCAUAUUUAUCAUCAGACUCUACACUAAGUAUAACAAUAAAGCAUAUCAUCAAAUUACUCUAAAAACUACAGUAAAUGCAACAUACCAUCAUAUGCCGAUCAACCAUGGUACUUGUCAGGCGGGUCACGAAUGGCACCCCGACGAAGUCAGCAUGUGGCGGAAUGAUGUCCCAUAGGUUGCACACCUCCUCCUCGCUCAACUUCAUUCUUUGAGCUAUGAUGGCAUCACCGAGUGGGUCAUCAUCAUCCUCAUCAUCCUCAUCAUCUUAUGCUUUGUUGAUAUAAAUCACGGCCAGCUUGGGUCUUUCAGCUCUGAAGGAGAAGCUGAUCAACUCACCACCGGUGAUACGCAUGUUGUCGAUGAAACGGACCCAUCCGUCUCCUCCCACCCGCGUCAUCUUUCAUCCUUUCUCGAUCUCCAUAGUGUAGGGGCCCCCGGGAGCCUCAAAUGUCACAGAGUCUCUAGUCAGAUUGUUGAAUUCUGACCUCACAUUGCAUGGGACGAUCUGUGUACAAAAAGCAAAAUGAUAUAUACACGAUGCAUUAAUGCCAAUAACACUAAAAACAAAAUAGUAGUUACUAGUUUCAUAUAAUUUAUUACCGCCGCAUGAAGAAAACUAGACUCGAAGUAGAUGCCAAACAGCGUGCCAGUUGCAAGGCUGCUGGCGCACCUUGACUUGCACCGUCGACAUGGUGGUGGUGGUGGUGGUGGCGCCAUUUCCCUAAAGCAAUAUGAUUAAAGGAUUAACGAUCCAAAAAGUAAACAUAAAGUUUUCAUAGCUAGAGUUCACAUGGCAAGCAAAAUAACAACUAAAAAGUAAACAUAAAGUUCAGUCCAACAAUCACAAAUUGCAAAAGUAGAGUGAUUGUAUGAUAAAGCACAAGAAAGCUAGCAAUCUAGUAAACAAAUGUCCCCAACUCUUCAGAUGAAGCGUCGCUAUCAGCAUGAAAUUUACACUAAACACAAGGUUAAACAAUACUAGUAGCUCAAUAAUUUAGAGAUGUAACAAACAAAUAUAUGGCAAAACAUAACAAUACUUUGAUCUCAUCUCAUCUUCGUUAAUCACAACAAAGCACACUAAAUAAACUACCCCCUUCUCAUAUCAGUAAUCCUAAAUCUUGAUGAUUUCUCACAACAAAGCACACUAAAUAAACAUGAGCUUGUAGCUUUGUCUCUCACAUGAACAACACCUAUACAACAUCCUAUAGAAGGGCACUUGGUACAACCCGAACCGAGCACUUACACUCCUAUAGAAGCAAUAUCCAUAACAUCACAUUAGAAAAGUCGAAACCGCCCAACCACAAAGCAAAAAAUCAAACAUGAGCCAGCCCAAUCCAAUGCCAAAUCAUGUCAGCAACAACCAACCCAAAUCCUCUACUCUCUCCCAUAUGUGAUACUAAUUAACAGUAGGAUCUAGAUAUGCAUAUGUGAUACUAAUUAACAGUAGGAUCGAUUGGAGCCAUGCAUCGAAGCGCGGAGCCACCGUGCAAUCCCUAAAUCCCAAAACAUGGCGAGCCGCCGCGGCAAAUCGAUUGGAGCCCCUACGACGAACCCUAACCGAGAGAUCGAGAGGAGCUACUGUGGCGCCCGCAGGGAGGAGGAGAUCGAGAGGGGGACUUACGGGGCUGAAGCGUCGGAGGAGGCGAGAGGCGACUGCGCGUGGUGGCGGCGCACGGCACCGUCGACGGGGGUGAGGCGGCUGGGGACGAACCCUAACCGCGGCGGCGGCGGCGGCGGGCGGAUGGGAUUGAUUGUGUGAGACGAGGGGGGUGCGGCCGGGGGCGCUCGCGGGGCGGUUUUCUUUAGCUGUAGUAGUAGCGCUGGUUGCAGCACCACACUACUGCUAAGCCCACCAGCUGUAGCGCCUUUUCAGAACAAACGCUAAAGCUAAGUGGGCUACAGAUGCUGCCCUGCGGCCCAUGUAACAGUAGCGCGGCCCGAACAAACAAACGCUGCUGCUAUAUGUUAGUAGUAGCGUGUUUUCUACACAGCGCUACUGGUAAUUACUAGUAGCGCUGGUUCAUAAAAACUCGCUACUGAUAACUUCUAUUUAUAAGCAUUUUCCUAGUAGUGUGCAGUGGGCAAGUCACUGGAUCUCAGUCCCCCAAGUGCACAUGUGGUGAUAAUUUAUAAUGUUUUGCGAGCAUUGAUUCCUUUUGCCAUAUUUUCCAAGAAUGCCAUAUGAUGAUGGAAUUUUGCAAGCUAUUAAAAUAUUUGUCGAAGUUUCGUACAAAAAAAUUCAGAUUUUUUAGAUUUAGUGUCCACCCGAGCUCAUGUGAGCUCGCGAUCAGAACAGGUGCGUCCGUUUAAGACUUACUAUUGUAUGAGUCGGCUACUAGAUUGGCUCCAGAUAACAUGUCCAUUGUUGACUGUAUUAUUAACCAUGCUCGAAAGCCUCGUAGAGGUCCACUACACUUUACAAAUUACUACUCCUAUCUCAGACGGCAAGCUCGGCGGCACUGCCCCGGUGCACCUAAGCUAACUUAAAAUCUCCUGCUGCCCACCGGCCGGCAGCCGCUGCGACG
RNAcentral lists this long non-coding RNA (6771 nucleotides) under Triticum aestivum (bread wheat). RNAcentral describes it as "long non-coding RNA (TAES_LNC023032)". The record is from RNAcentral. Lineage: Eukaryota; Viridiplantae; Streptophyta; Magnoliopsida; Poales; Poaceae.